Molecule: ribosomal RNA, 2902 nt
Filed under: Klebsiella pneumoniae
Lineage: Bacteria; Pseudomonadati; Pseudomonadota; Gammaproteobacteria; Enterobacterales; Enterobacteriaceae
Description: 23S ribosomal RNA
Rfam family: Bacterial large subunit ribosomal RNA
Source: RNAcentral
GGUUAAGCGACUAAGCGUACACGGUGGAUGCCCUGGCAGUCAGAGGCGAUGAAGGACGUGCUAAUCUGCGAAAAGCGUCGGUAAGGUGAUAUGAACCGUUAUAGCCGGCGAUGUCCGAAUGGGGAAACCCAGUGCAAUUCGUUGCACUAUCGUUAACUGAAUACAUAGGUUAACGAGGCGAACCGGGGGAACUGAAACAUCUAAGUACCCCGAGGAAAAGAAAUCAACCGAGAUUCCCCCAGUAGCGGCGAGCGAACGGGGAGCAGCCCAGAGUCUGAAUCAGCUUGUGUGUUAGUGGAACGGUCUGGAAAGUCCGACGGUACAGGGUGAUAGUCCCGUACACCAAAAUGCACAGGCUGUGAACUCGAAGAGUAGGGCGGGACACGUGGUAUCCUGUCUGAAUAUGGGGGGACCAUCCUCCAAGGCUAAAUACUCCUGACUGACCGAUAGUGAACCAGUACCGUGAGGGAAAGGCGAAAAGAACCCCGGCGAGGGGAGUGAAAAAGAACCUGAAACCGUGUACGUACAAGCAGUGGGAGCACCUUCGGGUGUGACUGCGUACCUUUUGUAUAAUGGGUCAGCGACUUAUAUUCUGUAGCAAGGUUAACCGUAUAGGGGAGCCGCAGGGAAACCGAGUCUUAACUGGGCGUUAAGUUGCAGGGUAUAGACCCGAAACCCGGUGAUCUAGCCAUGGGCAGGUUGAAGGUUGGGUAACACUAACUGGAGGACCGAACCGACUAAUGUUGAAAAAUUAGCGGAUGACUUGUGGCUGGGGGUGAAAGGCCAAUCAAACCGGGAGAUAGCUGGUUCUCCCCGAAAGCUAUUUAGGUAGCGCCUCGUGAACUCAUCUUCGGGGGUAGAGCACUGUUUCGGCUAGGGGGUCAUCCCGACUUACCAACCCGAUGCAAACUACGAAUACCGAAGAAUGUUAUCACGGGAGACACACGGCGGGUGCUAACGUCCGUCGUGAAGAGGGAAACAACCCAGACCGCCAGCUAAGGUCCCAAAGUCAUGGUUAAGUGGGAAACGAUGUGGGAAGGCACAGACAGCCAGGAUGUUGGCUUAGAAGCAGCCAUCAUUUAAAGAAAGCGUAAUAGCUCACUGGUCGAGUCGGCCUGCGCGGAAGAUGUAACGGGGCUAAACCAUGCACCGAAGCUGCGGCAGCGACACUAUGUGUUGUUGGGUAGGGGAGCGUUCUGUAAGCCUGCGAAGGUGUGCUGUGAGGCAUGCUGGAGGUAUCAGAAGUGCGAAUGCUGACAUAAGUAACGAUAAAGCGGGUGAAAAGCCCGCUCGCCGGAAGACCAAGGGUUCCUGUCCAACGUUAAUCGGGGCAGGGUGAGUCGACCCCUAAGGCGAGGCCGAAAGGCGUAGUCGAUGGGAAACAGGUUAAUAUUCCUGUACUUGGUGUUACUGCGAAGGGGGGACGGAGAAGGCUAUGUUAGCCGGGCGACGGUUGUCCCGGUUUAAGCAUGUAGGCUGGUUGUCCAGGCAAAUCCGGAUAAUCAAGGCUGAGGUGUGAUGACGAGGCACUACGGUGCUGAAGUAACAAAUGCCCUGCUUCCAGGAAAAGCCUCUAAGCAUCAGGUAACAUUAAAUCGUACCCCAAACCGACACAGGUGGUCAGGUAGAGAAUACCAAGGCGCUUGAGAGAACUCGGGUGAAGGAACUAGGCAAAAUGGUGCCGUAACUUCGGGAGAAGGCACGCUGGUGUGUAGGUGAAGUCCCUGCGGAUGGAGCUGAGACCAGUCGAAGAUACCAGCUGGCUGCAACUGUUUAUUAAAAACACAGCACUGUGCAAACACGAAAGUGGACGUAUACGGUGUGACGCCUGCCCGGUGCCGGAAGGUUAAUUGAUGGGGUUAUCCGUAAGGAGAAGCUCUUGAUCGAAGCCCCGGUAAACGGCGGCCGUAACUAUAACGGUCCUAAGGUAGCGAAAUUCCUUGUCGGGUAAGUUCCGACCUGCACGAAUGGCGUAAUGAUGGCCAGGCUGUCUCCACCCGAGACUCAGUGAAAUUGAACUCGCUGUGAAGAUGCAGUGUACCCGCGGCAAGACGGAAAGACCCCGUGAACCUUUACUAUAGCUUGACACUGAACAUUGAGCCUUGAUGUGUAGGAUAGGUGGGAGGCUUUGAAGCGUGGACGCCAGUCUGCGUGGAGCCAACCUUGAAAUACCACCCUUUAAUGUUUGAUGUUCUAACGUUGGCCCCUUACCGGGGUUGCGGACAGUGUCUGGUGGGUAGUUUGACUGGGGCGGUCUCCUCCCAAAGCGUAACGGAGGAGCACGAAGGUUAGCUAAUCCUGGUCGGACAUCAGGAGGUUAGUGCAAUGGCAUAAGCUAGCUUGACUGCGAGCGUGACGGCGCGAGCAGGUGCGAAAGCAGGUCAUAGUGAUCCGGUGGUUCUGAAUGGAAGGGCCAUCGCUCAACGGAUAAAAGGUACUCCGGGGAUAACAGGCUGAUACCGCCCAAGAGUUCAUAUCGACGGCGGUGUUUGGCACCUCGAUGUCGGCUCAUCACAUCCUGGGGCUGAAGUAGGUCCCAAGGGUAUGGCUGUUCGCCAUUUAAAGUGGUACGCGAGCUGGGUUUAGAACGUCGUGAGACAGUUCGGUCCCUAUCUGCCGUGGGCGCUGGAGAAUUGAGGGGGGCUGCUCCUAGUACGAGAGGACCGGAGUGGACGCAUCACUGGUGUUCGGGUUGUCAUGCCAAUGGCACUGCCCGGUAGCUAAAUGCGGAAGAGAUAAGUGCUGAAAGCAUCUAAGCACGAAACUUGCCCCGAGAUGAGUUCUCCCUGAGACUUUAAGUCUCCUGAAGGAACGUUAAAGACGAUGACGUUGAUAGGCCGGGUGUGUAAGCGCAGCGAUGCGUUGAGCUAACCGGUACUAAUGAACCGUGAGGCUUAACCUU